CCUACGGGAGGCUGCAGUGAGGAAUAUUGGUCAAUGGACGAGAGUCUGAACCAGCCAAGUAGCGUGAAGGAUGACUGCCCUAUGGGUUGUAAACUUCUUUUAUAUGGGAAUAAAAUGUUCCACGUGUGGGAUUUUGUAUGUACCAUAUGAAUAAGGAUCGGCUAACUCCGUGCCAGCAGCCGCGGUAAUACGGAGGAUCCGAGCGUUAUCCGGAUUUAUUGGGUUUAAAGGGAGCGUAGGUGGAUUGUUAAGUCAGUUGUGAAAGUUUGCGGCUCAACCGUAAAAUUGCAGUUGAAACUGGCAGUCUUGAUUACAGUAGAGGUGGGCGGAAUUCGUGGUGUAGCGGUGAAAUGCUUAGAUAUCACGAAGAACUCCGAUUGCGAAGGCAGUUCACUGGACUGCAACUGACACUGAGGCUCGAAAGUGUGGGUAUCAAACAGGAUUAGAUACCCGAGUAGUC
This 460-nucleotide ribosomal RNA is filed under the name uncultured bacterium. RNAcentral describes it as "partial 16S ribosomal RNA". It matches the Rfam family "Bacterial small subunit ribosomal RNA", at positions 338 to 795 of the family's 1533-position model. The record is from RNAcentral.